This 463-nucleotide non-coding RNA is filed under the name Pan troglodytes (chimpanzee). Lineage: Eukaryota; Metazoa; Chordata; Mammalia; Primates; Hominidae. The record is from RNAcentral.
CUCAUGACUUGGAAGCGGUGGGCUGAGGCCUCCCAAGACCAUCUGGCUUGUUCCAUUGCCAGCCAGAGUGGAGGCGACAUUCACACGAACCCAGGAGCUGCAGGGGCGCGUGAGCUACAGCUGCCUUGUGGCAUCCAAGGAGUGCGCAACUAGUCUCACUCUGUUGCCCAGGCUGGAGUGCAGUGGCGCGAUCUCAGCUUACUUCAGCCUCCGCCUCCCGGUUUCAAGUGAUUCUCCAGCCUCAACUUCACAAGUAGCUGGGAUUACAGCCACUUUUUAUCUUCUCUCCUGCAAUCCAACCCACAUAAUUUCCAUGAAGAAGGCGGAGUGGUGUCAUUUUACAACAAGAAAACUGAGUUAAGAAUAAGUCCAAUCAAUUGCUAGGUGUUGAGACUGAAAUGGAAGUCUCUUAGUACUCCACCCAAGGAUUUUCAUAUUAAACAAUUAUCUUGUCAUCAUUUUA